This 468-nucleotide ribosomal RNA is filed under the name uncultured bacterium. Its description in RNAcentral is "partial 16S ribosomal RNA". It matches the Rfam family "Bacterial small subunit ribosomal RNA", at positions 28 to 507 of the family's 1533-position model. The record is from RNAcentral.
GACGAACGCUGGCGGCGUGCUUAACACAUGCAAGUCGAACGGAAGCGCCGUGCUUUCGUGGGGUUCCCGAGUGGCGAUCGGGUGCGUAACACGUGAAUAACCUGCCCUUGACUUUGGGAUAACUUAAGGUAACUGAGCUUACUCCCGGAUAGGAUACCCCCUUGGAUGGUAGGCAUUGGAUCGUCUCGGCGGGUGGGGAUGGAUUCGCGGCUGAUCAGCUUGCUGGUGGGGUAGUGGCUUACCCAGGAUUUGACGGGUCGCCGGCCUGGGAGGGUGACCGGGCACAAGGGGCCUGAGAGACGGCGCAGUGUCGUACGGGGGACAACAGGGGGGAAUAUGGUACAAUGGGCGGAAGCCUGAGGCGGCGGCGCCGCGGGUGGGAUGACGGCCUGCGGGUUGUAAACCGCUUUCGCCUGAGACGAAGCGGGAGUGACGGUAAUGAGUAAAGAAGCACCGGCUAACUACGUG